AUUGUGAGUAACUUAGUGCAUUUGUUGAGCUGGUUCUUGCAUUCAAGCGGCAUUCCGACUUGCGUUUUAAUCGUCAAGCACACCUCAUUUGUUGUAGACGAAGAUGCUGUCAAGUAUUGCAACUCGCGUGGAGCGUGGGAAAUGUGCCCCGGAUUGUGUUAAUUCGGUUCCAUUCGAUGAGGUUUAGAACCAUUAGAACCACAAGAUCAUUCCAAUGCUCAAUGUACUCGAUGCAAACAAAAGACUCACCAAUCACACUCUCCAAGUUUCACCUCUCCUUCACUCUCUAGCCGUUUGUCGUGGUGUAACUAGUGUGUCAGCAUAUGGUGGGUCGGAGGGCUGAAAGUUUUGCCCAAUGAUAAACAACUUCUAUCCUCGUAACAUACCAUGAAGGUAGUGCAGUGAUUGUGAAUAAAUUUGUGUCUUAUUGACAAUUGUUUUUAUAAAGCUCCUGUACUUGUGCGUUGGUUCUGGGAAUCAAGAGAGACUCGUCAAGAUUUUCUUCACUUCCAUCGUCUAUUGGGGAUAAGGGAAUGGGACUCGCUUCAAGUAAAAUGAAUCGGAUAUGAGUGGCUGCUUGUUUUGUUUUGGAAGUGGUGUUGUGUGUUUAGUGUUGCCUUUAUGCAUGGGGUGUUUCACAUUUAUUUUCAAUAGCGUGUCUUCUAGAAGUACAUCUUCUCCUACCUCUGACUUGAAACGUCUGCCAGCAGAGACAUCUUUCAGAGGCGGCUCUUCUCAAGAAUAAUUGUCAUCGGUGUUUUGGGUUGUUAAAAACUUCAAGCAAACAAGAAGGGAGUGUGGGUGGUGGUAUUGGUGGUAUCAUCUUGAUUUUGUUUCUUGUAAAUGGUGCUGAAGUUGUAUUUGUGCAUGGAAUAUUCUAGAGGGUUUUCUAGAAGCCUAUUGUCUGAAAGUACAUCUCCUCACACCUCCACCUUCAAUCGUUUGCCACCAGUACUUCUAAAAUGGGAUCCUCAAGGUCACUGGAAGAAUGUCUCUGUCUUACACACCUACGCCCCUCAAGUGAAGGAUUGAUUGGGCAAUGUUCGGAUGGCUUUUGUAUGGGUGUUACAUUACUGACAACCCGGAGGGACUUGUCAAGAAAAUCUUCAUUUCAUUUUCCAUCAAGCAAAUGGGAAUGGUCUCACCUCAAGCAGAAGGAAUGGGUUCUAAAGUAUGGUUUUGGGGGUGGUUCUGUGGUGUGUUCCGUGUUACUUUUGUGCACAAUUUAUUAUGGAGGGAUUCAGGAAGUCAAUCUUCAAGAACUGUGCUGCGCCCACAGGGCAAAUCGAAUCAAGAUGUCAUUUCCAACAAAGUUGUGAAACGGAAUCUGUGGUUUAGAGAGUGCUCAAGUCUAUCACUUUGAGAAUGCAAAACUAAUUGUUCAGCAGAUUGUGAACAAAAGAGAAAUUGUUUCAAAGAUCGAUCGAAGACAAUUGUCUUGUUGCCUUGGUGUGGAUGUGGAUGUCAAUGUCGACAAGAACAUCAAUACAAGAUUGGGAGUCCAGCUGUCAGCCAGGACAAGAGUAAUCCAGAGCAUUACACAUCAAUAUCUCAUCCCAAGAGCUGGAUCUAUAUCUGUCGGUGUGACAAGGUU
Long non-coding RNA from Frankliniella occidentalis (western flower thrips), 1594 nucleotides. RefSeq lists it as uncharacterized. The record is from RefSeq and is a predicted model, not a curated record. The transcript is spliced from 5 exons. NCBI's taxonomy places the organism in Eukaryota, Metazoa, Arthropoda, Insecta, Thysanoptera, Thripidae.